GCUUAGGGAGGAGCUUGCGUCACAUUAGUUAGUUGGUGGGGUAAAGGCNUACCAAGACUAUGAUGUGUAGCCGGGCUGAGAGGUUGAACGGCCACAUUGGGACUGAGACACGGCCCAAACUCCUACGGGAGGCAGCAGUAGGGAAUUUUCGGCAAUGGAGGAAACUCUGACCGAGCAACGCCGCGUGAACGAUGAAGUAUUUCGGUACGUAAAGUUCUUUUAUUAGGGAAGAAUAAAUGAUGGAAAAAUCAUUCUGACGGUACCUAAUGAAUAAGCCCCGGCUAACUAUGUGCCAGCAGCCGCGGUAAUACAUAGGGGGCAAGCGUUAUCCGGAAUUAUUGGGCGUAAAGGGUGCGUAGGCGGUUAAAUAAGUUUAUGGUCUAAGUGCAAUGCUUAACAUUGUGAUGCUAUAAAAACUGUUUANCUAGAGUAAGAUAGAGGCAAGUGGAAUUCCAUGUGUAGUGGUAAAAUGCGUAAAUAUAUGGAGGAACACCAGUAGCGAAGGCGGCUUGCUGGGUCUUUACUGACGCUGAGGCACGAAAGCGUGGGGAGCAAACAGGAUUAGAUACCCUGGUAGUCCACGCCGUAAACGAUGAGUACUAAAUGUUGGGUAAAACCAGUGUUGAAGUUAACACAUUAAGUACUCCGCCUGAGUAGUACGUACGCAAGUAUGAAACUUAAAGGAAUUGACGGGACUCCGCACAAGCGGUGGAUCAUGUUGUUUAAUUCGAANGUACCCGAAAAACCUCACCAGGUCUUGACAUGCUUCUGCAAAGCUGUAGAAACACAGUGGAGGUUAUCAGUUGCACAGGUGGUGCAUGGUUGUCGUCAGCUCGUGUCGUGAGAUGUUGGGUUAAGUCCCGCAACGAGCGCAACCCUUAUUGUUAGUUGCCAGCACGUAAUGGUGGGGACUUUAGCAAGACUGCCAGUGAUAA
This 935-nucleotide ribosomal RNA is filed under the name Candidatus Phytoplasma asteris-related phytoplasma. RNAcentral's name for it is "bacterial SSU rRNA". It matches the Rfam family "Bacterial small subunit ribosomal RNA", at positions 217 to 1161 of the family's 1533-position model. Lineage: Bacteria; Bacillati; Mycoplasmatota; Mollicutes; Acholeplasmatales; Acholeplasmataceae. The record is from RNAcentral.